Molecule: ribosomal RNA, 495 nt
Filed under: uncultured bacterium
Lineage: Bacteria
Description: partial 16S ribosomal RNA
Rfam family: Bacterial small subunit ribosomal RNA
Source: RNAcentral
GAUGAACGCUGGCGGCGUGCUUAACACAUGCAAGUCGAACGAAGCACCUCUCCCGAAGAUUGACACAGCUUGCUGUAGAUUGAUUCAUUUGAGGUGACUGAGUGGCGGACGGGUGAGUAACGCGUGGGUAACCUGCCUCAUAGAGGGGGACAACAGUUGGAAACGACUGCUAAUACCGCAUAGUAAGAAGAAUUCGCAUGUUUUCUUCUUGAAAGAUUUAUCGCUAUGAGAUGGACCCGCGUCUGAUUAGCUAGUUGGUAAGGUAACGGCUUACCAAGGCCACGAUCAGUAGCCGGCUUGAGAGAGUGAACGGCCACAUUGGGACUGAGACACGGCCCAAACUCCUACGGGAGGCAGCAGUGGGGAAUAUUGCACAAUGGGGGAAACCCUGAUGCAGCGACGCCGCGUGAGUGAAGAAGUAUUUCGGUAUGUAAAGCUCUAUCAGCAGGGAAGAUAAUGACGGUACCUGACUAAGAAGCCCCGGCUAACUACGUG